UUAAAGUGACAGAUUAAAUGUGAGGAAUUUAAGCUUCCUUUAUGAUAUAUUUCCUUUAAUA
This 61-nucleotide transfer RNA is filed under the name Haemaphysalis danieli. RNAcentral describes it as "tRNA-Leu". The record is from RNAcentral. Lineage: Eukaryota; Metazoa; Arthropoda; Arachnida; Ixodida; Ixodidae.